ACCCUAUUCUAUGUUACAAGUGUCUUAGAAAACCGCCUCGGUAAACGAGGAGGAAGGUGGGAUGAACGUCUGGUCCGCAUAGCCCUUAUGUCCUGGGCUACACACACGCUACAAUGGCCGAUACAGUAGGAUGCCAAAUCGUAAGAUGGAGCUAACCCUCAAAAUCGGUCUCAGUUCGGAUUGAGGUCUGAAAUUCGACCUCAUGAAGUUGGAUUUGCUAGUAAUCGUAGAUCAGCAAUGCUACGGUGAAUACGUUCUCCGGGUCUU
This 267-nucleotide ribosomal RNA is filed under the name uncultured candidate division WS6 bacterium. RNAcentral's name for it is "partial 16S ribosomal RNA". It matches the Rfam family "Bacterial small subunit ribosomal RNA", at positions 1102 to 1382 of the family's 1533-position model. The record is from RNAcentral.